AGUAACACGUAUCCAACCUACCUCAUACUCGGGGAUAGCCUUUCGAAAGAAAGAUUAAUAUCCGAUAGCAUAUAUUUCCCGCAUGGGUUUUAUAUUAAAGAAAUUCGGUAUGAGAUGGGGAUGCGUUCCAUUAGUUUUUUGGGGGGGUAACGGCCCACCAAGACUACGAUGGAUAGGGGUUCUGAGAGGAAGGUCCCCCACAUUGGAACUGAGACACGGUCCAAACUCCUACGGGAGGCAGCAGUGAGGAAUAUUGGUCAAUGGACGCGAGUCUGAACCAGCCAAGUAGCGUGAAGGAUGACUGCCCUAUGGGUUGUAAACUUCUUUUAUAUGGGAAUAAAGUGGUCCACGUGUGGACUUUUGUAUGUACCAUAUGAAUAAGGAUCGGCUAACUCCGUGCCAGCAGCCGCGGUAAUACGGAGGAUCCGAGCGUUAUCCGGAUUUAUUGGGUUUAAAGGGAGCGUAGUCGGAUUGUUAAGUCAGUUGUGAAAGUUUGCGGCUCAACCGUAAAAUUGCAGUUGAUACUGGCAGUCUUGAGUGCAGUAGAGGUGGGCGGAAUUCGUGGUGUAG
Molecule: ribosomal RNA, 570 nt
Filed under: uncultured Bacteroidales bacterium
Lineage: Bacteria; Pseudomonadati; Bacteroidota; Bacteroidia; Bacteroidales
Description: bacterial SSU rRNA
Rfam family: Bacterial small subunit ribosomal RNA
Source: RNAcentral